UAUACCGUGAAACUGCGAAUGGCUCAUUAAAUCAGUUAUCGUUUAUUUGAUAAUACCUUACUACUUGGAUAACCGUGGUAAUUCUAGAGCUAAUACAUGCUGAAAAUCCCGACUUCGGAAGGGAUGUGUUUAUUAGAUAAAAAACCAAUGCCCUUCGGGGCUUUUUGGUGAUUCAUGAUAACUUUACGGAUCGCAUAGCCUUGCGCUGGCGACGGUUCAUUCAAAUUUCUGCCCUAUCAACUUUCGAUGGUAAGGUAUUGGCUUACCAUGGUUUCAACGGGUAACGGGGAAUUAGGGUUCGAUUCCGGAGAGGGAGCCUGAGAAACGGCUACCACAUCCAAGGAAGGCAGCAGGCGCGCAAAUUACCCAAUCCCGACACGGGGAGGUAGUGACAAUAAAUACUGAUACAGGGCUCUUUUGGGUCUUGUAAUUGGAAUGAGUACAAUUUAAACCUCUUAACGAGGAACAAUUGGAGGGCAAGUCUGGUGCCAGCAGCCGCGGUAAUUCCAGCUCCAAUAGCGUAUAUUAAAGUUGUUGCAGUUAAAAAGCUCGUAGUUGAAACUUGGGCCUGGCUGGCGGGUCCGCCUCACCGCGUGCACUCGUCCGGCCGGGCCUUCCUUCUGAAGAACCUCAUGCCCUUCACUGGGCGUGCUGGGGAAUCAGGACUUUUACUUUGAAAAAAUUAGAGUGUUCAAAGCAGGCCUUUGCUCGAAUACGUUAGCAUGGAAUAAUAAAAUAGGGCGUGCGUUUCUAUUUUGUUGGUUUCUAGAGACGCCGCAAUGAUUAACAGGAACAGUCGGGGGCAUCAGUAUUCAGUUGUCAGAGGUGAAAUUCUUGGAUUUACUGAAGACUAACUACUGCGAAAGCAUUUGCCAAGGAUGUUUUCAUUAAUCAGUGAACGAAAGUUAGGGGAUCGAAGACGAUCAGAUACCGUCGUAGUCUUAACCGUAAACUAUGCCGACUAGGGAUCGGGCGAUGUUCUUUUUCUGACUCGCUCGGCACCUUACGAGAAAUCAAAGUU
RNAcentral lists this ribosomal RNA (1021 nucleotides) under Alternaria alternata. Its description in RNAcentral is "SSU rRNA". It matches the Rfam family "Eukaryotic small subunit ribosomal RNA", at positions 75 to 1105 of the family's 1831-position model. The record is from RNAcentral. Lineage: Eukaryota; Fungi; Ascomycota; Dothideomycetes; Pleosporales; Pleosporaceae.